GACGAACCGUGCGAACGUUGUUCGGAUUCAUUGGGCUUAAAGGGCGCGUAGGCGGGCGUUCAAGUCGGGGGUGAAAUCCCACCGCUCAACGGUGGAAGUGCCCCCGAUACUGGACGUCUGGAGGGAGGUAGGGGUGUGUGGAACUUCCGGUGGAGCGGUGAAAUGCGUAGAUAUCGGAAGGAACGCCGGUGGCGAAAGCGACGCACUGGACCUCUUCUGACGCUGAGGCGCGAAAGCCAGGGGAGCAAACGGG
This 253-nucleotide ribosomal RNA is filed under the name uncultured bacterium. Its description in RNAcentral is "partial 16S ribosomal RNA". It matches the Rfam family "Bacterial small subunit ribosomal RNA", at positions 524 to 776 of the family's 1533-position model. The record is from RNAcentral.